AACGAACGCUGGCGGCAGGCUUAACAUAUGCAAGUCGAGCGCCCCGCAAGGGGAGCGGCAGACGGGUGAGUAACGCGUGGGAAUCUACCCAACUCUACGGAAUAACUCAGGGAAACUUGUGCUAAUACCGUAUACGCCCUUCGGGGAAGGAUUAUCGGAGUUGGAUGAGCCCGCGUUGGAUUAGCUAGUUGGUGGGGUAA
Molecule: ribosomal RNA, 200 nt
Filed under: uncultured bacterium
Lineage: Bacteria
Description: partial 16S ribosomal RNA
Rfam family: Bacterial small subunit ribosomal RNA
Source: RNAcentral